Molecule: ribosomal RNA, 200 nt
Filed under: uncultured Parageobacillus sp.
Lineage: Bacteria; Bacillati; Bacillota; Bacilli; Caryophanales; Anoxybacillaceae
Description: partial 16S ribosomal RNA
Rfam family: Bacterial small subunit ribosomal RNA
Source: RNAcentral
UCCUACGGGAGGCAGCAGUAGGGAAUCUUCCGCAAUGGACGAAAGUCUGACGGAGCGACGCCGCGUGAGCGAAGAAGGUCUUCCGGGUCGUAAAGCUCUGUUGUUAGGGAAGAAGAAGUACCGUUCGAAUAGGGCGGUACGGUGACGGUACCUAACGAGAAAGCCCCGGCUAACUACGUGCCAGCAGCCGCGGUAAUACA